GAAGUCCUUCGGGACAUCCAGACAGGUGGUGCAUGGUUGUCGUCAGCUCGUGUCGUGAGAUGUUGGGUUAAGUCCCGCAACGAGCGCAACCCUUGUAUUCAGUUGCUACGCAAGAGCACUCUGGAUAGACUGCCGUUGACAAAACGGAGGAAGGUGGGGAUGACGUCAAAUCAUCAUGCCCCUUACGACCUGGGCCACACACGUACUACAAUGGCGCACAACAGAGGGAAGCAAGACAGCGAUGUGGAGCAAACCCCUAAAAUGCGUCCCAGUUCAGAUUGCAGGCUGCAACCCGCCUGCAUGAAGUCGGAAUUGCUAGUAAUCGCGGAUCAGCAUGCCGCGGUGAAUACGUUCCCGGGCCUUGUAUACACCGCCCGUCACACCAUGGGAGCCGGUAACACCCGAAGUCAGUAGCCUGACCGCAAGGAGGGCGCUGCCGAAGGUGGGAUUGGUGACUGGGGUGAAGUCGUAACAAGGUAGCCGUAUCGGAAGGUGCGGCUGGAUCACCUC
RNAcentral lists this ribosomal RNA (510 nucleotides) under uncultured bacterium. RNAcentral describes it as "bacterial SSU rRNA". It matches the Rfam family "Bacterial small subunit ribosomal RNA", at positions 1012 to 1529 of the family's 1533-position model. The record is from RNAcentral.